CUGCGAGUGAGAGGGAAGAGCUCAUCAUUGGAAUCUGGCAGUGUUGCACUGUCCGAGUUGUAGAUGAGGAGUAGUCCGUCUGGACUGCAUGGCGUCCAAGUACAAUAGGCCGUCAGUGGGACAUCAUAGAGGGUGACAAUCCCGUCCUUGACGCCAAUGUGCAAGUCUAUUACGAUGGCUAUCUCAGAGAGUCGAGCAGUUUGGGAUUUGCUGCUUAAACAUGGGAGGUAGAUUCCUUCUAAAGCUAAAUACAGGCGAGAGACCGAUAGAGAACAAGUACCGCAAGGGAAAGAUGAAAUAGCACUCUGUGAAGGGAGUCAAAAGGCGUGAAAUUGUUGCGAGAGAAGCGAUUCAAGUCAGCGUAGCUAGGCCCAUCAAGCGUCUUCGCUUUGGACUAGCUUUGCCAGCGGUCUUGUCCCUUGAAGAGACUUGACUUGUAAUAUGUCCAGCCUGGCGUGCACAGGCAGCCCCUUCUGGGGGCCAGUGGCAUGGCUGGUGGAAUGGCUUGCAAUCGACCCGUCUUGAAACACGGACCAAGGAGUCUAACAUGUAUGCGAGUAUAAGGGUGGCAAACCCGUAUGCGCAAUGAAAGUGAUUUUCGGUGAUUGAGAAUGGCCUGAUGACCAGACAAGCAAUAUAUGUCCCUCGUACGGCCAUUGCCCAAGUUCCGUGGUAGAUCCCACGAACAUGGAGUUGGAGCAUACAUGCUAGGACCCGAAAGAUGGUGAACUAUGCCUGGACAAAGCGAAGCCAAAGGAAACUCUGGUGGAGGCUUGUAGCGAUUCUGACGUGCAAAUCGAUCGUCUGAUCUGGGUAUAGGGGCGAAAGACU
This 831-nucleotide ribosomal RNA is filed under the name Craterellus yunnanensis. Its description in RNAcentral is "LSU rRNA". It matches the Rfam family "Eukaryotic large subunit ribosomal RNA", at positions 87 to 932 of the family's 3401-position model. Lineage: Eukaryota; Fungi; Basidiomycota; Agaricomycetes; Cantharellales; Hydnaceae. The record is from RNAcentral.